This 504-nucleotide ribosomal RNA is filed under the name uncultured bacterium. RNAcentral describes it as "bacterial SSU rRNA". It matches the Rfam family "Bacterial small subunit ribosomal RNA", at positions 24 to 518 of the family's 1533-position model. The record is from RNAcentral.
UCAGGAUGAACGCUAGCUACAGGCUUAACACAUGCAAGUCGAGGGGCAGCAUUGGAGUAGCAAUACUCAGAUGGCGACCGGCGCACGGGUGAGUAACACGUAUCCAACCUGCCGCUUACUCGGGGAUAGCCUUUCGAAAGAAAGAUUAAUACCCGAUGGUAUAAAGAGUUCGCAUGUUCUCUUUAUUAAAGAAUUUCGGUAAGCGAUGGGAUGCGUUCCAUUAGAUAGUUGGCGGGGUAACGGCCCACCAAGUCUACGAUGGAUAGGGGGUUCUGAGAGGAAGGUCCCCCACAUUGGAACUGAGACACGGUCCAAACUCCUACGGGAGGCAGCAGUGAGGAAUAUUGGUCAAUGGACGAGAGUCUGAACCAGCCAAAAGUAGCGUGAAGGAUGACUGCCCUAUGGGUUGUAAACUUCUUUUAUAAGGGAAUAAAGUGAGGGACGUGUCCCUUUUUUGUAUGUACCUUAUGAAUAAGGAUCGGCUAACUCCGUGCCAGCCGCCGC